This 465-nucleotide ribosomal RNA is filed under the name uncultured bacterium. Its description in RNAcentral is "partial 16S ribosomal RNA". It matches the Rfam family "Bacterial small subunit ribosomal RNA", at positions 338 to 795 of the family's 1533-position model. The record is from RNAcentral.
CCUACGGGAGGCAGCAGUAGGGAAUCUUCCACAAUGGGCGAAAGCCUGAUGGAGCAACGCCGCGUGGGUGAAGAAGGUCUUCGGAUCGUAAAACCCUGUUGUUAGAGAAGAAAGUGCGUGAGAGUAACUGUUCACGUUUCGACGGUAUCUAACCAGAAAGCCACGGCUCACUACGUGCCAGCAGCCGCGGGAAUACGUAGGUGGCAAGCGUUAUCCGGAUUUAUUGGGCGUAAAGGGAACGCAGGCGGUCUUUUAAGUCUGAUGUGAAAGCCUUCGGCUUAACCGGAGUAGUGCAUUGGAAACUGGGAGACGUGAGUGCAGAAGGGGAGAGUGGAACUCCAUGUGUAGCGGUGAAAUGCGUAGAUAUAUGGAAGAACACCAGUGGCGAAAGCGGCUCUCUGGUCUGUAACUGACGCUGAGGUUCGAAAGCGUGGGUAGCAAACAGGAUUAGAUACCCGUGUAGUC